AGCGAACGCUGGCGGCGUGCCUAACACAUGCAAGUCGAACGUGAAAGGGAGCAAUCCCAAGUAAAGUGGCGUACGGGUGAGUAACACGUAGGUAAUCUACCCCAGAAUCUGGAAUAACCGGCCGAAAGGCUGGCUAAUACUGGAUAGAGCGACGGAAUCCGUAAUUGGGUUUUUCGGGAAAGGGAGCCUGUAAAAAGGCCUUCGUUCUGGGAUGAGCCUGCGUCCCAUCAGCUAGUUGGUGAGGUAAAAGCUUACCAAGGCAAUGACGGGUAGCUGGUCUGAGAGGACGAUCAGCCACACUUGAACUGAAACACGGUCCAGACUCCUACGGGAGGCAGCAGUGGGGAAUCUUGCGCAAUGGACGAAAGUCUGACGCAGCAACGCCGCGUGAGUGAAGAAGGCCUUCGGGUUGUAAAGCUCUGUCGAGUGGGACGAAAAUGCUUGGAGUUCAAAGCUCCAGGAACUGACGGUACCACUAAAGGAAGCACCGGCUAACUCCGUG
RNAcentral lists this ribosomal RNA (502 nucleotides) under uncultured bacterium. Its description in RNAcentral is "partial 16S ribosomal RNA". It matches the Rfam family "Bacterial small subunit ribosomal RNA", at positions 29 to 507 of the family's 1533-position model. The record is from RNAcentral.